Molecule: ribosomal RNA, 254 nt
Filed under: uncultured bacterium
Lineage: Bacteria
Description: partial 16S ribosomal RNA
Rfam family: Bacterial small subunit ribosomal RNA
Source: RNAcentral
CACGUAGGGUGCGAGCGUUGUCCGGAAUUAUUGGGCGUAAAGAGCUCGUAGGCGGUGUGUCGCGUCGGCCGUGAAAACCUGCAGCUUAACUGUGGGCGUGCGGUCGAUACGGGCAUCACUGGAGUUCGGCAGGGGAGACUGGAAUUCCUGGUGUAGCGGUGAAAUGCGCAGAUAUCAGGAGGAACACCGGUGGCGAAGGCGGGUCUCUGGGCCGAUACUGACGCUGAGGAGCGAAAGCAUGGGUAGCGAACAGG